Molecule: ribosomal RNA, 112 nt
Filed under: Caerostris darwini
Lineage: Eukaryota; Metazoa; Arthropoda; Arachnida; Araneae; Araneidae
Source: RNAcentral
AACGACCAUACCAUGCUGAAUAUACCGGUUCUCGUUAGAUCACCGAAGUCAAGCAACAUUGGGAGCGGUCAGUACAUGGGUGGGUGACCAUCUGGGAACACCGCGUGCCGUU